This 635-nucleotide ribosomal RNA is filed under the name uncultured bacterium. RNAcentral describes it as "bacterial SSU rRNA". It matches the Rfam family "Bacterial small subunit ribosomal RNA", at positions 70 to 747 of the family's 1533-position model. The record is from RNAcentral.
GGAAUUUUCGGAUGAUGCUGAGCGGCGGACGGGUGAGUAACGCGUGGGUACCUGCCUCAUACAGGGGGAUAACAGUUAGAAAUGACUGCUAAUACCGCAUAAGACCGCAUGGUAAAAACUCCGGUGGUAUGAGAUGGACCCGCGUCUGAUUAGCUAGUUGGUAAGGUAACGGCUUACCAAGGCGACGAUCAGUAGCCGACCUGAGAGGGUGACCGGCCACAUUGGGACUGAGACACGGCCCAAACUCCUACGGGAGGCAGCAGUGGGGAAUAUUGCACAAUGGGGGAAACCCUGAUGCAGCGACGCCGCGUGAGGAAGAAGUAUUUCGGUAUGUAAACUCUAUCAGCAGGGAAGAAAAUGACGGUACCUGACUAAGAAGCACCGGCUAAAUACGUGCCAGCAGCCGCGGUAAUACGUAUGGUGCAAGCGUUAUCCGGAUUUACUGGGUGUAAAGGGAGCGUAGACGGAUGGGCAAGUCUGAUGUAAAAACCCGGGGCUCAACCCGGGACUGCAUUGGAAACUGUUCAUCUAGAGUGCUGGAGAGGUAAGUGGAAUUCCUAGUGUAGCGGUGAAAUGCGUAGAUAUUAGGAGGAACACCAGUGGCGAAGGCGGCUUACUGGACAGUAACUGACGUU